GUCUCUUUAGAGACAUUCGAUAAAAUUAGAACGAUACAGAUAAGAUUAGCAUGACCCUUGCGCAACGAUGACAUGCACAAAUGUGCGGCCGCACAAUUACCC
Musa acuminata AAA Group (dessert banana) is the source of this 102-nucleotide small nuclear RNA. NCBI's taxonomy places the organism in Eukaryota, Viridiplantae, Streptophyta, Magnoliopsida, Zingiberales, Musaceae. The record is from RefSeq and is a predicted model, not a curated record.